CAGUAAGGCGUGGACAACCUGCCCCGGGCUCCGGGAUAGCCUUCCUAACGGAUGGGUAAUACCGGGUACGCUCCCUUGGAGACAUCUCCGGGGGAGGAUAGUUCCGACGGCCCGGGAGGGGUUCACGUGAUAUUAGCUAGUUGGUGAGGUAACGGCUCACCAAGGCGAAGAUGUCUAGCGGGUGUGAGAGCACGACCCGCGCCACUGGCACUGGGACACUGGCCAGACUCCUACGGGAGGCUGCAGUCGAGGAUCUUCGGCAAUGGGCGCAAGCCCGACCGAGCGACGCCGCGUGAGCGAUGAAGGCCUUCGGGUCGUAAAGCUCUGUCGUGGGGGAGAAAAGGGUUAAACCUUGAUCGACCCCAGGAGGAAGCACGGGCUAAGUUCGUGCCAGCAGCCGCG
Molecule: ribosomal RNA, 402 nt
Filed under: uncultured soil bacterium
Lineage: Bacteria
Description: bacterial SSU rRNA
Rfam family: Bacterial small subunit ribosomal RNA
Source: RNAcentral